This is a long non-coding RNA of Mirounga angustirostris (Northern elephant seal), 7406 nucleotides long. RefSeq lists it as uncharacterized. The record is from RefSeq and is a predicted model, not a curated record. Lineage: Eukaryota; Metazoa; Chordata; Mammalia; Carnivora; Phocidae. The transcript has 3 exons.
AAGGGUUCUCAGGUCCGGCCGCUUCCAUUGUGCCCUUCUGCCCAGUUGGAGGCUGGAACUAGGCAGAGUGGGAGCAGGACAGAAUAGCUGUCUGGGCAGUCAGCCUUCCUAUCAAGCCCAGGAUUCCAGAAAGUCCUUAUCCUUCUCUGACACAGGAACCUCAUUUAUUACAAAGAGUGGACGUCGCUGCCGGUGUUAUUGAGAUAAUGCCUGUAGAGCGUCCCACCCGGAGCCUGGCGUGGACUCGGUGCUCACCACCGCUGAAUGCUGAAGACACAUCAGACCCACCUGCAAUGAGAGGCCCAGCCAGCCCCACCAGCCGGCCCAGUCCCAGCUGAAGGCACCUGCACGGAGCCCAGGGCAGACUGAGAAGAGCCACCUGUCCAACCCACAGAACUGUGAGGAAUAACAACUCCUUGCUUCUUCAGCCGUUCAGUUUUGGCCUGGCUCACUAGACAGCAAUAGAGAACCAUAAUGGGCGAGUACUCUCCUUUGCAAAUCUUGCCCUUCCUUCACAGCCCUGCCCACCUGUCACCUCCUCCACUUCCUCCUGGCUGGAAAUCAUCACUCCCUCCUCUGACCCCCACCGCUCUUUGUUCCCGCUUCCCUUGUGAGCCCUCUAGCAUACUGCCUCUUAGAAUACCAGGCACCUUCCUGAGACACAGGGUACCUUUAUCCCCUGAAUCCUAAUUUACACGUAUUCCACACCAUUCCAGACAUGACAUGCAGUGACUCAUACAUUCAAAAUAUUAUCUUACUAUGUUCACAACACUAGAGGUGAGUAUGGUAGUCCUUCUCAGAUGGCAGAAUUGAGGUUUGGAAAUGACAGGACUUGCCCAGAGUCACUGACAAGGGAUGGGCCAGGAUUUAAACCCAAAUUUACACCUCUCGGCUGUCCCUCCUGUUGUAGUUACGGGUACGAUUUGCUCCUGGAGGGAAAGGAUGCUGCUUCCCUGCUGGAGGGUGAGGGAGUCACGAGUGUGGUCCCCGCUGCGCAUCCUGCCCUUCACUAUUGACAUAUGUCCCAAACCUAGGAAUCCAGAAUCUUCUCGUCAGGGCAUCUGUCCCCGUCUCACCCACCCUGCAGACACACACAAACACGCACUCCUUGUAUUUGGUCUUCAUCCUCUGUGUUGGUCUGCCCUGUGUCCUAAGAUAGCCUCUCAACUUUCUUGCCCAGCAGAACAGGACCAGGGGUGGUAAGCUUGGGGCCGACGGAUCGAGAAGGAUGAGCCAACAUGGCAUUCUCUGGCCCUGUCUCAUCCACCUUCUGGAAAGAUGAGGUAUGGCUGCAGGGCCACAGGGCCAGGCUGGGGGUCCAAAGAGGGGGGGUUGAUGAGCCCUCUCUGUUGGGGAAUGCGGAGGAACAGAAGAAGGCUAAAGUAGAAUCCUUUCGUUUGUUGAACUGACGUUUAUGGUGACUCCCCCAACCUUUCUGUGCCAAGGCCAGGGGCUGAAAUUACAAUGGACGAGUAAGAGGUGCCUCCCAGAGUUCUUCGCCUCUGUAAUGUCAGAGCUGAGACUCAGGGUUCAUCUUAGUCAGUCAGGGAAACUGAGGCUCAGGAGGGCAAAAAGGUCUGCCCACUGCCAGAGGGGAGUGACAGAGCACAGUUCUCCUCCUCCACCUUUUGGGCCCCUGUGGCUGCCAGUCUACAGCUCAGAGGCACCCAAAACGCACAAGCGCUUAGCAUGAGCACAGAGGCUUCAAAGCCACCCGCCCUCGGCGCAGGGAGGGAGGAGUGGGGACAUCCAUGGAGCAGGAUGAGGGAGCUUGUAGGAGACGGGGCUGGAGCAGGCAGCUUCUUUUGUGCUGUUACUCAAGGUCAGGGAAGAAAAACCUGGUGACAGGUGCCACUCUCUGUCUCCUGAAUGACAUGACAACAGGGGACCAAAAGCUCGGAAAUUCCUCUCUUCCAGCCGUCUCUCCCAUUCCCAAAGGAGCAGGCGGAGGAGAGGGAGGCUCUCAAGGGUUUCACAGCAGGGGUGCAAACCACCCACGCCAGAGCCUGGUGACCCCUCCCACUCGCCCCUUGGGGUCCUGGCGUGGUUGGAUCUGCAUAAGUUUGGGAAGGCUGAGAAGAUAUGUUCAACAGACGCCUCCAGGAAGACUUCUCAGAUCACAGCACCUCCCGCUGGACUCCCUAAGGCCAACCCUCUGGGGAGGCGCUCAGCAGAACUCCAGGUGUUGGUCCACGGGGACAUUGUACUUGAGCUUGUGGGCUUCGAAGAGGUCGCACAGCUCCUUGAUAUAGCGCUGGUGCAGCUUGUCCACCUCCUUCUGCGAGGGGUACAGUGUCUUCUGCACCUCAAUGGGCUUUCCCACUGCAAGACACAAAUGUGGGUGUUGGCCCCGAGCAGGAACCGGUGGGUUGCAGGGGCUCUUCCCCAUGGGCAUUCCUGCAGCAAAGUGCUCUUACUGCCAUCCCUUUCAGCCCUAUUUUGGGUGAUGGGUUCUAAGAUGUUAUGGUAACUCCAAGAUUCUGAUAUAACAACACCCAUGGGCAUUGCAAUAUGCCAUGGAAUGUGCCAGGCGCUUGCCACACAUUAUCUCCUUUAAUCCUCGUGACAGUCCUACAGGGAUAGAAGCUUUUACUAUUCCCCAUUGACAGGUGGGGCAACGAGGCUCAGAGGGCUAAGUAACGUUCAAGGUCACAAAGCCAGGAAGAAUCUGUUCCAGUUUUUAAAUCCUGGGCAUAUGCUCUUAAUUUCCUGACCACGUGGUUCUGGGAGCCCAAGAUGCCACGAUUAGAAGUGCCUACAGAUCUAGGAUGAGGUGGGCGCACACCCCACGCAGCUCUUCUUCCUCUUUCUCUCUCCAUCUGGCCUGCAGUGCCUGCUUUGUCCUAGGGAAGCCCUAAGUGACCUCCUUCCUCUGGUUCUGCCUGGCUGGGACGGUAGCUCCCCUGCCUUCUCCUCUUGGGAAUAGCUCUGGUGGCAGCAGCAGGAUUAACCCUCAUGCAAAUAUUGCCACAAGACAUGGGGAAAGUCAUGGUGUAGGGCGUACACCCGGUCUGUGCUCAACUGACAAAUAAAUGGAUGGAUACAGAUGAACCAACGUCCCUCUAUAGGCUUUGUCAGAGGGGUCCAGCUGGGAUCCAAGAAGAAAGCAAAUGAGGGGUCCCAAGAACUGAAAAAGAUGGUGCUGAGUCCAUGCACUAAAGCUCAUGCCCAUUAUUUACAGGAAAAUCCCUCAGGCUCUAAUCCAAGAAUAGCGAUUCCUACUCUACACACAAUUCUAAUUGACUUGGAAUGCCCUUUCGCUGUCUCCACCUUUUCCAGUAAGCCUUAUUAGAGUCUCUGGGUCAGAAUUAAACCCUCCUUCUCUAGCACAAUAAAAACUCAAAGAGAUCCUGAUCCAAUCCUCAACCUUGUUACUCAAAGGCAGCAUGAUCUUUUGCAAGUUACUUAACUUCUCGGAGCCUCAGUUUGCGAUCAGUGAAAUCGGGAUAACAGUCUCUAUCUUGAAGGUUGUUAGGAUAGAUCGAGCUGCUGCAUGUUAGGGAACCUGCCUGCCACCCAGCAGGUACUCUGUAAUCAGUAGUGACUACUGUUCUUUGUGCCUCUGUUACAGUUCCCAUCCCACAGUGCCUUCUAUUAAGGCUUAUCUGCUUGAUAAGCAGUGUCUGUUUCCCGGUCUAGAAUGUGAGCUCCAGGAGGGCAAGGAUGUGUCUCAUUCAUCUCCAUGUCCCCUUGCAGCCCAUAGCCCAGGCCUCUCUCCCUGUAGGCCCCACCCCCCACCCCUGGCCAGGCCAGCUCACGGCUCACCCACGGUGGUGAUGGGCUGGCGGUAGGGCAUGAGACCGAAGCUGUACUGGAAGACGCCACGGCCAUGGAAGAGCGGGAGGGAGAUGCCCAUGAUCUUCUGCAGCCGGUUCUGGAUCCUGCGCAACCAGGAGCCAGGAGAGUUCGCAACCUGGUCAAAGAGCUCAUUCUCCCCGAAGGAGAAGAUCGGCACCAGGGCUGCCCUGGAGAGAGACAGGAGAGAAUACCAGUGGAAGGUCCCACAGAAGGCCCCAGCUAGCUUCCUGCAGGGACGGAGCAACCAGGAACUAGAGCAGAGGACAGAGCCCUGGGCCAGCAGUAGGAGGCCUGGGUUGUCUCCCAGCCCUGCCAUAGCUUUGCUUUCUGACCGUGGGCAGGUCCUGGCCCCUCUCAGGACCACAUUAGGACAGAUAGACCAGAAUGCUUCAGAGAGUCCUCCCAGAUAUAAAACAUCUGUGAGUUCUGUAGAAAAAUCUCCCCGGCCCCAGCUAGCUUGUGUUCUUCAAAGAUGCUUCGAAGUAGAGCAGCUCUGUGAUAUGCCCCGAACUCCAUCCUCCCAGAUCCCAUAGAUGUCAGAUCCAGUGCCAGCUUUGGGCAGACAUGUCCCUUCCCACCUAGUGCCUUUGAUCACCACGCCUCCCUUCUGAAAUCUUCUCUGGGUAUUUGGGCAUGCCAUAGUACAUUUCUCACCAAAAUAUAAUCUUCGCUGUAAAUAGACUGAGAAUCUCCCCACCAAAAUAUAAUCUGCACUAGUCUCUGCUGUCUUCCUGCCAAUCUCCCCUGGAGCCGAGAGCCCUCUCCCCAGAUACCCGUGCAUCAGUGCGAGCCUGACAAAGCCCUUGCGGUUCUGUAGCAACAGCGUGGAGGAUCUGGGCCUGGCGUUCAGAGCCUCCUGGGCACCCCCUACAAUGAUGGCCAGCAGAUUGCCACCUUCCUUCCUGCUCAGAAUGUGAGCAGCGCUCUCCUUGUCUGAUGUGACGAGCCCUGGGAACAGAGGAAGGUGGUCAGCCUCAUCCUCCUGGACUACCCAGAGGUGUAAAGACUCACCCGCUGACAUGAUGUAAUCCCUGAAGAAAGGGACCCGGAACCAAAGGGUCAGCAUCAUCAGAUGGGAGCGGAUGCCGGGGAAGAGUGAAGGGAAGCCCGUGCUCUCUGUGCACAGGUUGACAAAGGCUCCGGCCGCCAGGACCCCGUGGGGGUGGAAGGCCGCAAGGUAGUUCCGGGAGGGGUCCAGCUCAGCAGUCUUGACCAGCUGCAAGGACAAUAACCCAGUGAGCCAGAGCGGGACCUGCGUGCCAACCCUGACCGUGCCACCCAUCAGUGUGACCUUGGGCAAGUCGCUCCCCCUCUCUGAGCCUCAGCUUCUCAGGAAUACUGAGACACAGUAUGUGAAUGCAUCCAGGGACACCGUCUCAGAUUCACGGCUGGCUUUGGACAAACUGCUUCCCUCUCAGGCUCUUCCUCUGUAAAACGGGGACAUUUAGCCCUGUCCUGCCUACCUCCCAGGACUGCUGAGAAGCUCGGGUCUGUGGUACCCUGAAAUUACCAAGAUUACUACAGGACCAGAUAUCAUUUGAAGGCAUCAAAAGGACACGGGGGCGCCAUCAUGCUGGAAGAGCCUGGGUUUAACAAAACUCAGUAUGAGAAAAAUGGGCACUUAAGCCCUGGGAGUGAGCAUUAGCAAGAUAUAGCAGGAGUGGUUGAAAGAGCAUGCAGUCCAGAAGGCUGGCUCCAGGCCUAUUUACCCUUCCAUGCAAUGCAAGUGUCCCCCUGGGGCUCCCCGCUCCCCCUACGCCAGACCUUCAUUGCCUCUCGACCAUUCUCUUACCCCAGCCAUGGGCUCUGCUGGCAAGCAACUUGCCAGGGUCUGGGCAGGCCUGCAGCAUGGAGCGGGAGGUAGGGACCACCAGUUAUUGCAGAUGGCCUGGGGGAGGAGAGCUGUCGUCUUUAGCAGCUCCCAGGUGAAGGGGGAUGGGGGGGGGGCAGGAAAUGAGCUAACAAAUGCUGUUCUCAGCCCGCCCAUCACUGCACAGGCUGCUCCGUGGUCCAGUCCGCAAAGAUGAUUGCUGCGGGCUGUGAUUGUGUGUGUGUGUGUGUGUGUGUGUGUGAAUGGGGGCAAUCCCUCCCCCACCCUGCCAGGACCGCAGGCCCACCCUUCACACUGCCCUACACUCUGGGAGCCAUAGCCAUGAGAGUCUGAAGGCCCCUGAGGCCCCUGGGCCAUGCCCCGAGCCCCUGGCAGGAGGCCCCCUGAUAGAACUGUCCAGUCCCCGCAAUCGCCCUCCCGGCCGCGGGGCAGCCCUUUCCACCCUGACUCAGCUUUGCCACGGUGAAAGUUCAUCCUGUCAUCGAGCUCAAACUUGCAGCGGGUGGCUCCCUGAGGAUUCUUGCUGCUGCCUUUGGGGCCCCAGAGGCCUGGCUGCCUGCCCUCAGAGCGGCCUGGAGGGGCCUGGAGGGACCUGGGGGGCAGCAACGGGGAUCUGAGCCCAUCUGCCCCAUCCAGGCCGAACAGCCCCAAAUUGUCUUGGACGUCACCUGGACUUGGUUUCUGCAACCCACCCUCCUGCCCAGUAUGGGCCCCAGGCACCCACUGACCCUUUGCAGAAACCUGCAGGGCCCACAGUUGGAGGGACCAUCGCCUCCCACACGAGGACAAACCUCUUCUGCUCACGCGGUAGGGACUUCCUAGAUGUGAGGAUAAAGCCGGAGCAGCGAAAUCUCUGGUUAUCCUCCGUGGGAAAGGUGCUUGCUCGGGAACCCGUCUGGUGGCGUUCCCCCACAAACCCACCUGGCUCCCCGCCCUGACUCACGGGCACACGAAUUCUUUCUCGGCCAGUGGGAAGGUGAUUUUGUACAAGCUCUGGAAAGACGAUUUGGCAACAGCUAUGACAACCUAAAAUCGUGACUAACCUUUUAACCCAGCAACUCACUGCUAGUUUCUUGUGCUUGCGCAAAAUGACACGUGAACGAGAUUAUUACCCGAAGCAUAAGGUUUGGUACUAUCCAAACCUCGGCACCCCCUCCAGUGCCCAUCAACAGGGCCCGCUGAGACAAAUUCCCAAAACAUCCACACAGUGGGCCACAGGGCAGCCCUCGGGAAGUAUGAGGAAGAUCUCCCUGGCUUGGUGGGGGAAGAUGGCCACAGUCACUGGUCAGGACAAAGCAAAGGGCAAGACAUCGUGGGCAGAACAUCCCUGACUGUGCUGGGAAAGGGGACAUGCACUUGUUCAUAUGUGGACACACCGAAUGCUAGUUGUCCUAGUUACCUCUGGGGCAGGGACUUUUCACCCACAUACCCCCUCGUCCCUUUGGAAUUUUGAACAAGAAUGUAGUACCUAUUAUCCUUAACGAAGAAGCCUUUGCACUUCGAGAAAUACCCGGCUGAAUGUGAGCGUGUGCAUCUGGGCACGAGUGCCUGUAUUUGCCGUGCAUUUACAUGUGCGUGUCCAAGCGGGUGCGCUGCUGGGGUCAUCCCUGUCCGCACGUCCCUAGACAUGGUCUCUGCUGCUGUCCUUCUGUGCCCCCCUUUUCUAUCUGUCCCCUGUGCCCAAGGGAUAGCACUGCCUCACCGUGAGGGCCGUGAGAGUAGAGGCCACCCGUCGGCUGCACCUCCUGACCCAAGCACAGGCGUGGAACAGAGGAGA